AAGUGUAACACCCGCGAAGAAUGCACGGAAGGAAAUAAUUUGGUUUCACAGCUACUUCUAUGUAUGUGUGGGGCCGGAUCAGAAGACUACGUUCGCUCAGGAGUCAGGAUUGCAGCAGGAGAAAGAACACAACAACAACUUCUGGAAAAGAAAACUCAACAGAAAGUAAACAACAAAAAUGCACAGUGUGAUGAACAACUUCCAGAUUCUAUGAAAUGGGAUGGCUCGCCAGUUUCUGCAACCGUGUGUCUCUCUCUCUCUCGAUGGACAGCAGAAACAAUUCUCCCAAACGUCAACAAAACUCCAGAUCCAGAAUCAGCAUUGCUCUCAGGAACAUCAAUAAACAAAGAAGAGAGAGAGAAAAGAAAAGAAACCAACAAAAAAAAAAAAAACCCAACCUUGCAAAACAAGGCAGAAAAUUACAAUUAAUAUCAGAGCUCUCAAUAUCAAAAGCAUAUUUCAGUAACACACUGAAAAAAUGUACAAUUGCACUCACAAUAUACACAUCUCUUUUUUCUUUAAACACAUUUCUCAUUAAAAUACAACAACUGAUUUGCUCAACUUACUCAACCCAUAUAAAUCAAUGCGUUAGCCAUUAGCUAAGACCGCAUGGUUAGCAUAACUCCCUGUGCUUAGCAUCACACUUUCAGCACAUAUUAUUGACAUAAAAUAACCAUUUGACCACAAAUCAACAUAUAUACACAUAUAUUUUUCUUCUAAAACAUUGAACAGAAAUAAAGCAUAAUUUAGACGUUUGUUUUGUAGUGAAACACUACACUAACUAAUUUAUAUAAAGGACAGACAAAUACAUAUACAUGUAAUUCACUUACCAAGAAAAAUAGUGAGUAAACAGAACAAUCCCGGAUGGAAAAAUAAAAAUCUCUCUUUUGGUUUCUCUCGAGUGAAUUAACUUUUUUCUGUUUCCUAUUCUCUUCAGAUCCAGUGCAAUCGCGAUCGUCUAAUGUAAGCACCACUUUACUGCUAACGAGCGAACACUGUUCUCAUAUUUCAAAACACUUCUCUUACAGAUCGACUUAACUUAAAACACUUUAAAUCUCUGUUCAAAAGCUGUUUUUGCUAAAUCGCCAUGUCUCCGCUUCUCACCGUUCUCUCCCUUUUUCUGUUUGUUCUCCUCAAUCCCCUUUUUCUGUUUUUUUUUUGACGUCAACCUUGAGGGAGGGGUUACUCUUAAACGGCCAGUUUCUAAUUUUACUUAUUUUCCUAGACAUUUUCUGUUAUUAACUAUUUCACUUAGUAUAAGUUGAGAAUUCGAUAUAUAAUAUGAAUAUGAAUAAAAUAAUGGGAUGAUAUUAAUAAAAUAGUCUUAUUUUAUUUACAUAUGUAGUAAUAUAUAUUUUUCUCUAUUCACAGGUGCUGGCUCUUGUAACCUGGGUUACAUCCUCCCUCACGGAAUAUAUGCACGUCCCUGUGCAUUUACACAUCGAUGAUAGGGGGAACCACAGACUCUUCAAAGGAGCACUCGACUGCCUUACUUAAGCCUUGCAAUAAGGACUGAAACACUGUGGUGAGUGGAUUUCCUAAUGUGGGGUAUUCAAACUUUUUAGGGGGGUGUCGCUCUCUCUGUGAGCGUCUGGGAAUAAUAUCCUCAAGAUCAGCAUUUUCGAGCUCUCAAUAUCAAAAGCAUAUUUCAGUAACACACUGAAAAAAUGUACAAUUGCACUCACAAUAUACACAUCUCUUUUUUCUUUAAACACAUUUCUCAUUAAAAUACAACAACUGAUUUGCUCAACUUACUCAACCCAUAUAAAUCAAUGCGUUAGCCAUUAGCUAAGACCGCAUGGUUAGCAUAACUCCCUGUGCUUAGCAUCACACUUUCAGCACAUAUUAUUGACAUAAAAUAACCAUUUGACCACAAAUCAACAUAUAUACACAUAUAUUUUUCUUCUAAAACAUUGAACAGAAAUAAAGCAUAAUUUAGACGUUUGUUUUGUAGUGAAACACUACACUAACUAAUUUAUAUAAAGGACAGACAAAUACAUAUACAUGUAAUUCACUUACCAAGAAAAAUAGUGAGUAAACAGAACAAUCCCGGAUGGAAAAAUAAAAAUCUCUCUUUUGGUUUCUCUCGAGUGAAUUAACUUUUUUCUGUUUCCUAUUUUCUUCAGAUCCAGUGCAAUCGCGAUCGUCUAAUGUAAGCACCACUUUACUGCUAACGAGCGAACACUGUUCUCAUAUUUCAAAACACUUCUCUUACAGAUCGACUUAACUUAAAACACUUUAAAUCUCUGUUCAAAAGCUGUUUUUGCUAAAUCGCCAUGUCUCCGCUUCUCACCGUUCUCUCCCUUUUUUUGUUUGUUCUCCUCAAUCCCCUUUUUCUGUUUUUUUUUUGACGUCAACCUUGAGGGAGGGGUUACUCUUAAACGGUGCUGGCUCUUGUAACCUGGGUUACACAAGCAUUAGUUUUAACUUUAUAAAAACUAUCAUUCUCUAACAGAGAAAGAAGGUUUUCA
Molecule: long non-coding RNA, 2471 nt
Organism: Cyprinus carpio carpio
Lineage: Eukaryota; Metazoa; Chordata; Actinopteri; Cypriniformes; Cyprinidae
Source: Ensembl